Molecule: transfer RNA, 77 nt
Filed under: Alphaproteobacteria bacterium
Lineage: Bacteria; Pseudomonadati; Pseudomonadota; Alphaproteobacteria
Also listed under: 1 other name
Description: tRNA-Ile
Rfam family: tRNA
About the family: Transfer RNA (tRNA) molecules are approximately 80 nucleotides in length. Their secondary structure includes four short double-helical elements and three loops (D, anti-codon, and T loops). Further hydrogen bonds mediate the characteristic L-shaped molecular structure. tRNAs have two regions of fundamental functional importance: the anti-codon, which is responsible for specific mRNA codon recognition, and the 3' end, to which the tRNAs corresponding amino acid is attached (by aminoacyl-tRNA synthetases). tRNAs cope with the degeneracy of the genetic code in two manners: having more than one tRNA (with a specific anti-codon) for a particular amino acid; and 'wobble' base-pairing, i.e. permitting non-standard base-pairing at the 3rd anti-codon position.
Source: RNAcentral
AGGCGCGUAGCUCAGCUGGUUAGAGCGCACGACUGAUAAUCGUGAGGUCGGCAGUUCAAAUCUGCCCGUGCCUACCA